GAUGAACGCUGGCGGCGUGCCUAAUACAUGCAAGUCGAGCGGUAAGGCUCCUGCAGUUUAUUUGAUUAUGAUUGCGCUCGCAGAGUAAACCAGUUUACUGGUGUGCGAAGCGAAGGCAAUCACAACAGACCCAAUCAACCCCCGACUAGGGAAGAGACGGCGAGGGAAAAUCGAAUGAAGUGCUGGAGUACACGAGCGGCGGACGGCUGAGUAACGCGUAGGAACGUACCCCAAACUGAGGGAUAAGCACCAGAAAUGGUGUCUAAUACCGCAUGUGCUCUAAGGAGUAAAGCUUCGGCGGUUUGGGAACGGCCUGCGUACGAUUAGAUUGUUGGUGAGGUAAUGGCUCACCAAGUCGACGAUCGUUAGCUGGUCUGAGAGGAUGAUCAGCCAGACUGGGACUGAGAACGGCCCAGACUCCUACGGGAGGCGAGCAGUAGGGAAUUUUACCACAAUGGACGAAAGUCUAGAUGGAGCAACGCCGCGUGACG
This 491-nucleotide ribosomal RNA is filed under the name uncultured bacterium. RNAcentral's name for it is "bacterial SSU rRNA". It matches the Rfam family "Bacterial small subunit ribosomal RNA", at positions 28 to 406 of the family's 1533-position model. The record is from RNAcentral.